GAUCGUUUUGGAAGCUAAGCAGGGUCCACCCGGGUUUCCUCUUGGAUGGGUUCCCUAACAUGAGUUGUAUGGGGUUGUAACCAGGAGGGGGAUUUUUACCCAAAUCGCAUUUUUUUUUCCCCCAAAAUUGCUAACCCAUAUGCAGGGGGGUGUAGGGGUUAAUUAUUGCCCCCCAGGGCAAUUAAUUGCAAUUAAUUAGGGGUUAUUACCCCCAGAUCGUUUUGGAAGCUAAGCAGGGUCCGCCCCGGUUUCCUCUUGGAUGGGUUCCCCAACGCGAUCUCUACCGGGUUGUAACCGGGGCUUGGAACUUCACCAAAAAAUGCCUUUUUUCCCCCAAAAAUGAAUUUCUAACCCAAUUUUUUUAAAUUUUUUACCUCUUUUAGGUGCGAAGGCCGCCCCCGACGGAGGAACCGAGCGCGGCCAAGCGCCUGCUGAUCCUGCUGCUGGCCGUGGAGCUGCCCAGGACGGCGGUGACAACGUGCCCACCCAACGGGACCCUCGUAAGGACGCACUUGGGGGCACCCAUGGGUGCCUCCUGCCCGCUGCUGCUGUCGCCCACCCUGGACCCCCCCAACGGCACGGCCGGGGGGGCUGCCCGCUGAUGGGGACCACCCGGGACCCUCC
Molecule: long non-coding RNA, 624 nt
Filed under: Anas platyrhynchos platyrhynchos (common mallard)
Lineage: Eukaryota; Metazoa; Chordata; Aves; Anseriformes; Anatidae
Description: lncRNA (ENSAPLG00000017816.1)
Source: RNAcentral